AACUGUUUUAAUUUAAUGCUUGAGUCUCUGUAACCAUAUAAAUGUAUUCUUCUUGUUUUCUAGUUAACUUGCAGCAGCCCAGUAUUUCCCACAGUGCUCCUGAUGGAUGGUUUGACGUGUGAUCACCAGUGGCCACAAUUUCACUAUCAUCUGUUCAACUCAAUCUCAGUAUCCUGGAGGAUCUUUUCACCUGUUCAGAGGAUCAAACAUCACCAGGACUGAGUCAGCUGUCAGUCACUCUGCCUCCUUCUUCUUUCCUGAGGCAGAUUAUUCACACGAGGGAAACUACAGCUUUGUUUAUGAAGUCAGUGUCUCCUCACGCUCCUUCCGUUCAUCUGCCUCUGAACUGCUGCUCAUCACUAUCACAGGUACUGAUGUGUAAGAGUCUAACUCAAAGCUGGACUGCUGGUAAUGAAAGUUCAAACUCAAACACGUGUGUCUCUCUCAGCCUCCCUGCUUCCUGUCAUUGGUGCUGCAGUGUCAGCUGUGCUGCUCUUAUUGUCUGUCCUCAUAAUCAUCCUCCUGCUGAAGAGAAGACAAAAGGAAAGGAACAAACAAAGUCAUUUGAGGUGCUCUUUUAUGAAAGGUCAAGCUGCAUCACAUAAUAGCAAAAAUGAAGAUGAUGAUGAUGAUGAGGCAGAUUAUGAAAAUGUGGAACUUGAUGAAAACAUGGAUCAUGAUGAUUAUGAACCGGACUAUAUUAAUGUGGACUCUGACCAUUCUGAAGAGAACUAUGUCAAUGUGAAUAUUACAGAGAAAAGUGUGGUGAAAGCUGUUGUGAUUAAUAUUGAGUGAACCCAAAAACUAAAAUUAUUGAGGCUCAAAACAGAUUAAAUAUGGCAGCCUUGAUUUGAAUCAGUUCAGUUGACAGUGUGAUGAACAGAGAGACAACCGCAUGGGAUGCUGACCACUAAUACAGUGCAUUCAUUCUGAGCACUGCCGUGUUCAUCACAGCCUGCUGCACAUAUUCCAACUGAUAGAUUUUUGUUUAGUGCAUCCAGUGAUUCAAGUGAACUGUGUCCCAGGGAUAUCAGAUCACAUUUAGUAAUAAGUGAAAUGGAGAGGAAGCUUUCUUUUAAUGCAUGUCAAACAGAAUAUGUUUGUUUAAUCUUGCUGUAUAUUUAUUAAAAUAUUAGCAAAGAUGCAAAUUUACAUUUAUUAAUUUAGCAGACACUUUUACAACUUACAAAGCAGUUUAGCAGACACCAAAGCAACUUACAAAUAAGGAAAGCAAUUUAUCACAAGGAGGCAAUAAUAGGAUAAGUGCUAGCAAUACAAAGUUUCAAACAUUGUCCAAAAGAAUACAAGUUAGAAGGAGGAGGGAUAGGGAUAGAGAUAGGAGGCUGUUCCAUAUGCAAGCAAUGUCUCAAUGUCUUGAAGUUGAUGUGAGCCGCAA
RNAcentral lists this long non-coding RNA (1396 nucleotides) under Sinocyclocheilus anshuiensis. Its description in RNAcentral is "lncRNA (ENSSANG00000044794.1)". Lineage: Eukaryota; Metazoa; Chordata; Actinopteri; Cypriniformes; Cyprinidae. The record is from RNAcentral.